This 1218-nucleotide long non-coding RNA is filed under the name Dromaius novaehollandiae (emu). RNAcentral describes it as "lncRNA (ENSDNVG00000010820.1)". Lineage: Eukaryota; Metazoa; Chordata; Aves; Casuariiformes; Dromaiidae. The record is from RNAcentral.
ACAACAGAGAACUGGGCUUUAUGACCCACUAAGUUUUUCCAGCCCUGUGCCUGAAGACACAGGAGGCACUGGCAAAAGAAAUUCUGCUUGUUCAUGUAAGAAGGGAAGCUUUUAGAAAACUUUCGGAAGUAUGAAUACUGAGACCAUUUUAAGGCUAUCUUUUAACAAACAGCCAAAGCAAUAAAACCAAUACUAAAUCCAUAAAACAAAAGGAUUGGAUUGCUUAAGUAAAAAGAGGCCAGAGUGAAAGCCUGACAGGACAAAGAAGACCAGGAAUGAGGGAAGAAAAAACUCAGUUCCCUCUCCUGCAACCAAAAAUCGACUUUGUCAACAAAAGCAAGAGUUUUUUGGAGGGGCUUGAAGCAGGCAAUUUUACGGCAAAGAAGUCAGACUCUAUGUUUAAAUCCAUGCAACGAGGCAAGCAAGAACCUUACAAAGAUGGAGACAUGAGAAAGAACCAUCCUUGCUUAUUCUGUGCUUUGAGGACUGUUGGAAAUAGGCUGCUGACAGAAUUACAAAAGCUUGGAGUAUUACAAAGCCUGGAGCACUGGUUGUUUCAAUUACUGAUCCAAGAGCUUAAAGAGUUUUUAUUCAUAGAUGAUUUCAUGUACUUUUGACAGCUAAAGUGUARUGCAAAUAAGAGAAACUUAGAACGACAGAGAGAAAGCAUUGCACUAUCUAAUUUGAUGAAUUAAGGACACAGGUCUAGAUUUAAUGCCUCRGUAGAGUCACACACACUCAGAAUGGCAGUAAGAAACCUCAAAUGCUGAGCAAGAAGCUACUUAGAAAUCCCACUUUCUGAYAUUCCAGCCUAUUCUGAAUACUUCAGGACAGCUCCAAGAGACCCCCAUCUACACACCUGAACCCAAAGACAAGAAUUGUCUCCCGAUGAAUAUCAGAUAUCGGCUAAAAUAACUGAUCAUAGCUAUAGCUUUCCCUUUAAAACAUGACCAGAAGAGGUGCUGCUAUCCAGUUUUUCUGUAACGAAAAGGUUAUUAUAGUAUUCAGAGAAGAGAAAAUGUAACAGCCAGAUUUUGUUCUUCUUGACCUGWGAAGUUUCAAAUUUAUAGCUUCCACCUCAGUAGGUAGAUUCCUCCUGGAAAGAAACAGUUAUUCUAACACUUUACUGGGUAGAAAUGGUAUUCUCCAACUUUCUUGGUAAAAUUAGGCCACUGCCUAGAAAAUAAAGCAAAUUUAGCAGUUUUUUUCCUUAGAAAA